This 76-nucleotide microRNA precursor is filed under the name Nicotiana attenuata. Its description in RNAcentral is "MIR6145 microRNA precursor family". It matches the Rfam family "MIR6145 microRNA precursor family". The record is from Rfam by way of RNAcentral. Lineage: Eukaryota; Viridiplantae; Streptophyta; Magnoliopsida; Solanales; Solanaceae.
GCAAGAGGCAUUGCUACACAUAGCAUUAGCCCCUAAAAAGGUUCCGGCCAGUGCUUGUGUAACAAUCUCUCCGGCU